Molecule: ribosomal RNA, 465 nt
Filed under: uncultured bacterium
Lineage: Bacteria
Description: partial 16S ribosomal RNA
Rfam family: Bacterial small subunit ribosomal RNA
Source: RNAcentral
CCUACGGGAGGCAGCAGUAGGGAAUCUUCCACAAUGGGCGAAAGCCUGAUGGAGCAACGCCGCGUGGGUGAAGAAGGUCUUCGGAUCGUAAAACCCUGUUGUUAGAGAAGAAAGUGCGUGAGAGUAACUGUUCACGUUUCGACGGUAUCUAACCAGAAAGCCACGGCUAACUACGUGCCAGCAGCCGCGGUAAUACGGAGGUGGCAAGCGUUAUCCGGAUUUAUUGGGCGUAAAGGGAACGCAGGCGGUCUUUUAAGUCUGAUGUGAAAGCCUUCGGCUUAACCGGAGUAGUGCAUUGGAAACUGGGAGACGUGAGUGCAGAAGAGGAGAGUGGAACUCCAUGGGUAGCGGUGAAAUGCGUAGAUAUAUGGAAGAACACCAGUGGCGAAGGCGGCUCUCUGGUCUGUAACUGACGCUGAGGUUCGAAAGCGUGGGUAGCAAACAGGAUUAGAUACCCUUGUAGUC